GAAAAGCACUCUGAAGAGAGAGUCAAAGACCGUGAAACCGCUCAGAGUAUAAGCCCAUGGAGUUCGGAAGGCAUACCGCCGCUGAGUAGUUGGCGACAUGAAAGGAAGGUCUGUCAGGAAAAGGGAGUCUGAGCUGAUAUCCCUCUGUCGCGCGGGGGAGAGUGUGGUGGACGUGGGGCUUCGGUCCUGCGCUUCCUCCUCACCUCUCUCUUAUGCGCGGACGGUCAAGGCUUUAUGUCGUAGGCGGGAACUGCCCACCACGGCUCGUUGUGAGGUCACCCACAGGCUCGACUGUCGAUCGCGUGUUCUCCUCGCUUAGCACUCGAGUGUCGAAAUGCGUUCCGUCGCCCCAAUCUUUUACCUGAAGUUGGGUCGCGGCGGGAUCGACACGCGCGGCGAGGCUCAGUCUCAAAACGAACCGGACGGCGACCGAGAUAAACCUGGUAUGAUCCUCGUGCGACGAGCUGCUUUCUGGCCAGAGCUGCAUCCAGGCCUCGUCUCAUGUGCCGAGCGAGGCCCCGUCCCCACGGGCAGGCUUGCGCCCUCUGCCGUCGGUGUUUCAUAUGCCGGCGGCAAGGUCCUCCUCGCCGGUUGCAGCUCUGAGUGGUGUUAAGUCCGACACCAUCGGUCACGUCUCGAAACACGGGCCAAGGAGUAUAGCAUGUGUGCAAGUCUAAGGGUCUCUCAAAACCCGGAGGCGAAGUGAAAGCAAGGUUGUGGCGGGUGAGCUCCCCUUCACCGGGGAGCAAAACCUCGUCAGCCGGAAAGGCGCACGCGUCACUCGUGGCGUGUGUGGCCGUUCGGCUAUUCGUUUUAUGCACGAGCUGAUACUACUAUUACGGAUAAGUCCUGAGGUAGUCGCAAGCUCCGGGCUCGCGUACAGCACUGGCCGCUUGCGACUGUGUUGCGAGCACCGUGAAGCAUGCAUGCUAU
This 933-nucleotide ribosomal RNA is filed under the name Crangonyx subterraneus. Its description in RNAcentral is "partial 28S ribosomal RNA". It matches the Rfam family "Eukaryotic large subunit ribosomal RNA", at positions 366 to 812 of the family's 3401-position model. The record is from RNAcentral. Lineage: Eukaryota; Metazoa; Arthropoda; Malacostraca; Amphipoda; Crangonyctidae.